Long non-coding RNA from Saccostrea cuccullata (small rock oyster), 2548 nucleotides. RefSeq lists it as uncharacterized. The record is from RefSeq and is a predicted model, not a curated record. The transcript is spliced from 4 exons. NCBI's taxonomy places the organism in Eukaryota, Metazoa, Mollusca, Bivalvia, Ostreida, Ostreidae.
AAUUAACUUUAUAGGGUGAGAAUUUAUAUAUUUAUAUCCAUUAGACCAGUUACUGGUGUAUUUUGAAAUAGACUUUGUUUAUCUUUGAAUGCAAAACGAUGUUGAUUUCCACAGUAUUCUUCAGUGACACGUACAGGUGUUAAUACCGAAUGACCUUCACCCUGCAGAAAUUGUUCGUGUAUCACAUGUAGUUCUCCACAAACAUGACAAAAUGGUGAUUUCAUUAGAUUUUUCAGCUCAACAUUAAUGGGUAAAAUACAAAAGAAUAAAUUACAGAAUGAAAUAAAUAGAAAUGCUUUAACUAUUACCGGUAGUUAGGAAGUAGCAGUAAAAAAAAAUGUGUACAUUUACAGAAAUUUCAUACAAAUAAUAGCCCCCAAGAUGCACAAAAUACAGGUGCUUAUCAUUUAUAAUUAUUCACAUACUAAGCAUUUAUGGAUUGUAUACAUGUUAUAAUUUACAUGAUGGUCCAUAUAUACAUGUAUUUCGAUGUUUGUAUCACUCUCUUGUGUCAGUUACAUUAAUAAAGAUUUUAGUUGAAAUCCAACACGUAAGAAAAUUAUGAAUAAUUAAAAAAAAAUAAGGGGGCCUAAUCAAUUUGAGAGUUAUUAGUUAUGUAAACAAACACAAAAUAGUAAUGGCGUUCAAGAUGGCGGUUCAAUUAUUUGCCCAAAAUAGCCACGCUAAAUUUCAAGGAUUUCAUCGCAAUCGGCUUUCAGUUUAAGUUGGGGCUUCAUUAAAUAAUUGUUAAAUGUUCAUUGUUAUAAUUAUUAAUUGUUUACACGAAAUAUUUUAUGAAUAAUUUAAUAAAAUCACGUGACUCCAGCGAAGUCUACGAUUGGUCAGUGGAUAGCGCGGACAUUACAGAGACGAUUUGAAAAUUGGCCGAGAUGAAAACCUCAAAAAGAAAUCGGAGAAUUAUAGGUCGCAAAAUUCUUGUCCCCUGUAGUCAUUCUAAACUUGGGGGAAAUGCAUAAAGACUAUAACUCUGUCAAAUUGAAGGGAAUGGCAUGAAAGAAGAAAGAAGGAAUUGCGUGGUACAUUCAAAUGGAGGAUCAGUUUUUAUAAGGAGUCCAGAUGAAAAUCGCAACUGUACAGCAACGAGGAUUUACCCUGGUAAAGGGUCUAUUACUGUGCAGAAAUUCUGUGGUGCCAAUUGGGUAGGAACUCUAUGAAAGUAAUGAAGAUUACAUAAAUUGCACAUGCAGCAAGUGAAUAAUGUGUGGCCAAAAAAGGACAUGACAUGGAGUAUACUUUCAGUACCUUUACGGUGUCUUUGUGUAUUUAAAUUACAUUAAUUAUGUUUUGUAUAUGCUGAAAAGGUGUGUUUAUUUUUUUCUUGCAAAGAAUGAUAUUAAAUAUCAUUAUUUUGUUAAAGGUAACAAUAUUAAUUUUUUUUUUAAUAUAGGAGAUUUGUCAUAUAUAGAUUCUGUUUAUCAAUAGGAUUUAAAAGAGAUAUUUUUCAUAUAUAUUUUCAUGUAGCAUCAUAUAAUAAAUUUUUACUUGUACCUGAUAAUUAGUGUUAAAUUCUUCCUUAAUAUAGUCCUGCCCCAUUCACAAGGAAUGAUAAGUAUGUAUUUUUCAUGUAAGGCCAAAAAUUUAAAAACAUUUGAUGGAGAAAGAAAUUUUUAACUGGGUUUUGUGGUUGAUUUGUCGACAAAAGCCCAUUUUUUGAUAUGCCUUAAAUGUACCUUUUUGUAUAGUUAUGCGGUGUGCCAAUAUUGUGCUUUUUUAGUACCUAAAAUGUGCCUAUUAAAGCUUUUGGUACAAUAUAGGUACCUUGUAGGUAUACUUUUGGUAUACCUCUGGCAUACUUUUGGCACAGCCUUGAAGGUACCUAAUAGAUUGAUAUGUAGGCACUUUUUAGGUAUGCCUGGAAUGUACCUACUGGUCUAGUUAGAUGAUGUGCCAAUAUUGUGCUUUUUUAGUACCUUAAAUGUGCCUAUUAAUGCCUUUGGUACAAUAUAGGUACCUUGUAGGUAUACUUUUGGUAUACCUCUGGCAUACUUUUGGCACAGCCUUGAAGGUACCUAAUAGAUUGAUAUGUAGGCACCUUUUAGGUAUGCCUGGAAUGUACCUACUGGUCUAGUUAGAUGAUGUGCCAAUAUUGUGCUUUUUUUAGUACCUAAAAUGUGCCUAUUAAUGCUUUUGGUACAAUAUAGGUACCUUGUAGGUAUACUUUUGGUAUACCUCUGGCAUACUUUUGGCACAGCCUUGAAGGUACCUAAUAGAUUGAUAUGUAGGCACCUUUUAGGUAUACCUAAAAUGUACAUAUCUGACUGUUAGAAUUAUAUGCCAUACUAUGUAUAGGCAUACUUUAGGUAUGCCUCACUGCUCAAUCUAAUGUUUUAUGUGUGCCUAAAAUGUACCUAUAUGUGAAAUAGAAAAAAUGAAUCAUUGAAAAGUAUACCUUUAGUAUGCCUUUUUUGUACCAAUUUGCUACCUAUACUUGAAGAAGUGGUUCCAAACUUGUAUACUUAAAGUAUACCUUUUUUGUGCCUAUAUUUAUCAAGAAUAGGCAUGCCUAAUCUGUACCUUUUUUUGGUAU